UUGCUCACUUCCGCAGCACAUGAACUAAAAUUGGAACGAUACAGAGAAGAUCAGCAUGGCCCCCGCACGAGGAUGACACACAAAUUCACGAAGUGUUUCAUUUUAAA
This is a small nuclear RNA of Macaca fascicularis (crab-eating macaque), 107 nucleotides long. NCBI's taxonomy places the organism in Eukaryota, Metazoa, Chordata, Mammalia, Primates, Cercopithecidae. The record is from Ensembl.